CACGUAGGGUGCGAGCGUUGUCCGGAAUUAUUGGGCGUAAAGAGCUCGUAGGCGGUGUGUCGCGUCGGCCGUGAAAACCUGCAGCUUAACUGUGGGCUUGCGGUCGAUACGGGCAUCACUGGAGUUCGGCAGGGGAGACUGGAAUUCCUGGUGUAGCGGUGAAAUGCGCAGAUAUCAGGAGGAACACCGGUGGCGAAGGCGGGUCUCUGGGCCGUUCCUGACACUAAAGCGCGAGAGCUAGGGGAGCAAACAGG
RNAcentral lists this ribosomal RNA (254 nucleotides) under uncultured bacterium. Its description in RNAcentral is "partial 16S ribosomal RNA". It matches the Rfam family "Bacterial small subunit ribosomal RNA", at positions 524 to 776 of the family's 1533-position model. The record is from RNAcentral.